RNAcentral lists this ribosomal RNA (401 nucleotides) under uncultured bacterium. Its description in RNAcentral is "bacterial SSU rRNA". It matches the Rfam family "Bacterial small subunit ribosomal RNA", at positions 355 to 772 of the family's 1533-position model. The record is from RNAcentral.
UGAGGGAUAUUGGUCAAUGGGCGCAAGCCUGAACCAGCGACGCCGCGUGGGUGAAGAAGGUCUUCGGAUCGUAAAGCCCUUUUCCCACUGAAGAGGAAGGACGGUAGGUGGGGAAGAAGUCUCGGCUAACUACGUGCCAGCAGCCGCGGUAAAACGUAGGAGACAAGCGUUAUCCGGAGUUACUGGGCGUAAAGGGCGUGCAGGUGGCGUCUUAAGUCUGUUGUGAAAGCGCCUGGCUUAACCGGGCGAGGCCAAUGGAGACUGAGAGGCUGGAGGACGGCGGAGGUGUGUGGAAUUCCGGGUGUAGUGGUGAAAUGCGUAGAGAUCCGGAGGAACACCAGAGGCGAAGGCGGCACUCUAAGCCGUACCUGACACUGAGACGCGACAGCACGGGGAGCAAA